RNAcentral lists this ribosomal RNA (253 nucleotides) under uncultured bacterium. Its description in RNAcentral is "partial 16S ribosomal RNA". It matches the Rfam family "Bacterial small subunit ribosomal RNA", at positions 524 to 776 of the family's 1533-position model. The record is from RNAcentral.
UACGUAGGGGGCAAGCGUUGUCCGGAAUCAUUGGGCGUAAAGCGCGUGUAGGCGGCCCGAUAAGUCCGCUGUGAAAGUCCAGGGCUCAACCCUGGGAUGCCGGUGGAUACUGUCGGGCUCGAGUCCGGAAGAGGAGUGUGGAAUUCCUGGUGUAGCGGUGAAAUGCGCAGAUAUCAGGAGGAACACCAAUGGCGAAGGCAGCAAACUGGUCAUCAACUGACGCUGAGGCGCGAAAGCGUGGGUAGCAAACAGG